RNAcentral lists this long non-coding RNA (260 nucleotides) under Solanum tuberosum (potato). RNAcentral's name for it is "long non-coding RNA (STUB_LNC006407)". The record is from RNAcentral. Lineage: Eukaryota; Viridiplantae; Streptophyta; Magnoliopsida; Solanales; Solanaceae.
AAAUAGUGCGGAAUUAAAAACUCUUUAAAUAAAAUCCCAUAAGACUCAAAGGUCACUUUUAAAAACAUCAUUCAAAAGUACACAAGCGGAAUACUAAGUCUCUUAGCCAUCUUAGACAUAAACGUGAAAACAUACUAGGGACACGGCCCUUUACAAUCAAAAGAAGUCUAUUAAGUCUAUUACAAGAACCUUAUCAUAAAACUAGAAUAGAAAAGUCUUGUCCUCGACAUAUGAGGACAUACCACAAGAUCUUGGAAGAA